Scleropages formosus (Asian bonytongue) is the source of this 538-nucleotide long non-coding RNA. RefSeq lists it as uncharacterized. The transcript has 2 exons. NCBI's taxonomy places the organism in Eukaryota, Metazoa, Chordata, Actinopteri, Osteoglossiformes, Osteoglossidae. The record is from RefSeq and is a predicted model, not a curated record.
UCGUGACGUAGCGAAGUCCGAAACGCGGCGAUGGUGGCUGAGGGGGCGGACGAGGCUCGCGAUGCCGUUGAGGGCGGGUCAGAGGUCAGCGCGCAGACGCUUUUUUUCCAAGCCACGCACAUCUCCGGACUCAUCAUGACAAUUCCGUGAACGGUGGCUGCAGGGCACAUGAUGUCUCCCAUCCCCAAAGUGAUGAAGUAACACAAAGUGCCACUUACCCUGUGUGUGCUGGACUCUCAUCACCUCAUUGUUCUGCUGUGAUCUUGCAAGAAUUAACAAACUUAGUUUAAACCACCUGAUACAGAGAGGCAUCAGUUACAUAAACUAAUCAAAAAUCAGUAUUAACUUUAUGACCAAGGCUCCCUAUGCUAUUCAGAGAUUAUUUUUCUCCUAUAAUUUUCAGGGACAUACCAGCCCUUAGUAAAACUGUAAAGAUUUUGAGGGCCCUUUGAUAGAUUUAAAUACUGGAGUACCAACUUGUCAGAUUUUGGGAGACCAAAAACAGUCAAUAAAAACAGUCAAUAAAUUCUAAGACUGA